Molecule: ribosomal RNA, 384 nt
Filed under: Triticum aestivum (bread wheat)
Lineage: Eukaryota; Viridiplantae; Streptophyta; Magnoliopsida; Poales; Poaceae
Description: partial small subunit ribosomal RNA
Source: RNAcentral
AUGGAGGCGCGGCAUAUGUGGAAAGCCAUGGAAACUGGCGAUGUCGAGUACGAGGAGGACCGGCUGGCGAUGGAGGCGAUCUUGCACUCUGUCCCAGCAGAGAUGGCGCUCACCCUUGGCGCCAAGAAGAUGGCAAAGGAAGCAUGCGACACCAUCAAGACUCUGCGCAUCGGCGUGGAGCGCGUACGGGAGUCGAAGGCCCAGACCUUGCACCUCGAGUACGAGGAGAUCCGGUUCAAGGCCGGUGAACAAGUCGACGGCUUCGCCUUGCGGCUACAAGGUCUCGUCACUGAGCUCGCAACGCUCGGAGAUCCCAUGGACAAAAAGAUGGUGAUUCUCAAGUUUCUCCGCGCCGUCCCCAGGCAGUACAAGGAACUGGCCUGA